This 1651-nucleotide long non-coding RNA is filed under the name Marmota monax (woodchuck). Lineage: Eukaryota; Metazoa; Chordata; Mammalia; Rodentia; Sciuridae. The record is from RNAcentral.
AGGCAGUGGUCAUUGAAGAAACCAGGGGAGAUUAAAAAGUUCAUAGAAACAAAUGAAUAUGGAAACAGAAUUUAUGAGAACCCUUGGGACACAUCAAAAGCAGGUUUAAGAGGGAGGCUUAUAGUUAUAAGUGCCUACACUGGAAAAAUAGAUCUCCAGUAAAUAACAUAAUGAUGUAUGUCAAGGAUUAGAAAAACAAGGAGAAACCCAAUUCCAAAGUGAGCAUAAGAAAAAAAUAAUAAAGACCAGGAAGAACUUAAAUCGAGAUUGAAAGCAGAGAAUGAAGGAUCAAUGCAAUAAAGGGUUACUUCUCUGAACAAAUAGAGAAAAUUGGGGAACCUUAGCUAAACUAACCAAAAGAAAGGGGGUACCCAAAUAUACUGCAUCAGACAUAAGUAAGGUGUCAGGAGCUAGAAGGAAAUUCUCCUUCAAAGAACACCCUGACAUUUACAAGAAACAGCCCCCUGAGAGACAUCCUGCCUGGGAGACAUCCUGCAGCUACCUAUCUUCCUGAAACAUCCUGCGGUUAUCUCACCUUGUGCAGACAUCCAGCAAAUGCCAAUAAGAGAGCUUCCCCAUCCCCAGCAUAUAAAUACCUGUGUGUGCAGCUUGAUCAGAACUCCUGUCUUGCUGUCAUCCCUCGUGUCUCUUGUCCCUUCAUUCCUCCCCGCCUAGGUUCGAGGCCCUCGUUGAUGUCCUGCUGGUCGGGACAGUAAGGCAUAUUACAACAGAUACCACUGAAUUCUGGAAUGUUUUAGAAAUAUUAUAUGUCCACAGAUUGGAUAAUGUGGAAAGUUCUAGGCAUACAACCUACCAAAGUGGAACCAAGAGAUUGUAAGAAGCCUAAAUAUAUCAAAUAAAAAGCAAUGAUGUUGUUGGAAGUAAUAAAAGCAGAUAGACUCACCACCCAAUUUCCCAGAUUUUAAAAGAAGUACUAAUACCAAUUAUCUUAAAACUAUUCCACUAAGAGGAAAGGAAGGAAUGCUUUCAAACUCUAUGAAGCUAGUAUUACUCUCUCACCAAUUGUGAGGGACUGUGUGCACAUAAAAACAUGCACACACUAUAAACCAAACCAAUAUUCUCGAGGAACACAGAGGCCACUAUUCUCAAUAUAAUACUUAUAUAUCCAAUUCCACAUGACAUUAAAAAAAUCAUGUACCAUGAACAAGUUCACUUCAAUUCAGGGACAUAAGUUUGGUUAACCUUGGCAAAUCAAUAAAUGUAAUACACCACAUAAAUUGAAUCAAAGGUGAAAAUCCUAGAUUAUUUCAGUAAUGCAGUAAAACCCUUCAAUAAAAUUCUGCAUAAAUUCAUGAUAAAAACCCUAUAAAACCUAGUUACAGAAGGGUUAUAUCUUAACAUAAUAAGGGCUAUCUAUAAUAAACCCAUCGCCAAUGUUGUUGUGGAUGAGAAAAAAACUGAAAGCACAUCCUUACUAUGGGAUAACCCUAGGUGUCCUUCAGCAGAUGAAUGAAUAAAGACUGUGGCAUAUAUACACAAUUACUAAGCCAUAAAGAAUGACAUUUUGGCAUUUGACAGUAAAUGGAUGGAACUGGAGAAUAUCAUUCUCAAUUAUAGAAGCCCCAAAUGUCAAAGCUUGAAUAUUUUCUCUGAUAUGCAGAAGUUGAUACAAAAUAAGGGGGUGGGGAGA